UAAGAAAUUUGGCGGUAUCUUAAUCUAUUCAGAGGAACCUGUUUUGUAAUUGAUAUUCCACGAUGUACCUCACUUAAAUUUGUUUUCAGUUUAUAUACCGUUGUUACUAUUAAUUUUUUAAGAAUAAUAAUUUUUGUGAUUUUGAAUUUAGAAAAUAUAUCAGAUCAAGGUGUAGCUUAUAUUUAAGUAGAUAAUGGGUUACAAUUAAUUAAUUAAGUUGGAUUUAAUUUUGAAAUGAUUAUUGAAAUUGGAUUUGAUAGUAAAAUUAUAGAGAUUGAUAAUUUGAUUUUUUAGCUCUAAGAUAUGUACAUAUCGCCCGUCACUCUUAUUUAUUAAAGUAAGAUAAGUCGUAACAAAGUAGAUGUACUGGAAAGUGUCUCUAGUAACAAUUUAAAACUUAUUAGUAAAGUUUUUCAUUUACAUUGAAAGGAUAAUUGUGCAAUUCAAUUUAAAUUGAAUAGUAUAAAUUUAUUAAUUUAUUUAUUUAUUAAUUUUAUUUUAUUAAAAUUAUUUAUAGAAUUUAAUUUUUAGUAUUUAUUUUAGAAAAAAUAAAUUUAAUUAUAGUUAAUUAGUAUUGUGAAAGAAUAUUGAAAAAUU
RNAcentral lists this ribosomal RNA (597 nucleotides) under Passeromyia indecora. RNAcentral's name for it is "partial 12S ribosomal RNA". The record is from RNAcentral. Lineage: Eukaryota; Metazoa; Arthropoda; Insecta; Diptera; Muscidae.